GUGCUAGCUUAUCAGCCAUAACAGCUGUAGCAAACAGCACCCCACUCAGGUCUGGAAAAACUGAAACACAGAAAUCAUAUUGUCUCAGUUUUUUCUUAGACCCCUGUGAGCUUGAUGAGAUAGUGAUGUAGCUGUGUAACAUGCAGCAAUCAGAAUUUUUCAUAGCUGAGAUGUUCUCACUGCAAUUAACAUUAUUUGUGGCUGGAGGCUGAACUGCAAUCAAAUGAAAUUUAUUUGGUGUUUAGUGGUUACAAUUCUGUUGUUGCUCUGUUGCAUGAGUUCCAACAUAAAACUCCGCUGCAGAACAACCGUGGAUGUUGUUUAAGAUUUUUAUAAUGAUUAAAAAAUCUAUAACACAAGCUUGCAUAUAUCUGUAAAGCAUACACCUGUAUACUAGUAAGAGCACAUCUGCCAUGUAAGGUGGUUGCUUGCCAUCUGAAGCAGCUUGCAUUUAGUGUCUUGCCCAAGGACACAUGCUGGGGUUCAAACCCACAACACUGUGAAUAGUGGGGGAAAAAGAGUCAGAGCUGAAUAAGUGCUGCUAUGCAACUUUUCUUUGUACCUUCUUGUGGUUCCAGUUGUCCUUAUCUCAACAGCAGCAGUAGCAGCGUAGCAGCAGUUUAAUGACUUUGUUGGGGAUGUACUGAAAGUAUCCCCUGGAGGUUUUUGGCAGUAUGCCGCUGAAGUCACUGUAGUCUCAGAGGAAGUUUCCCACUUGAUGAUUACACAUAUCUUACUAGAGACCUUUGGGCCAACUUCCACAAAGUCUUUUCCUGUAUUUAAUGUCUAUUUUGAAUCUGUGCCCAAAACUUGCCUGUUUUUUUUAUUUUUUUUUAGCAUUUCUUCAUAUGAAAGAGUUUUCUGUAUUUUUACUACUGCACAGCAAGAAGUAACUUUUGAUGGUUGAUUAGGAAAAGCUUUCCAAAUUGUAGAGAAGUACAGUAUAAAACAGUGCUUACAUUGUGGUCACAGUGUUAAUUCUGUAACCUGAACCUGUCAAUCAAAGAGGUUAUGGCGUCACUGGUUUGAAAGUGACCAGACCCGUGCCAAGUAUUUCAAGCUUUUUUCCGUACAACUUUUCCAAACAAGCCAUACCUGUCACUCAGAGCAUGAUAACUCAGGCCUGUUGUAAUGGCCCUGGCUUUUGGACUGCAGGUUUUGAGUUUUCUUGGAUUUUAAAUUCUUGUUUAUUAUUUGAUGUUCUGUUUGGUUCUGAGUUUGUUUAUAAUUUCGAUUCGAUUUUACUGUUCUUUCAGAUUUUUUUUCUGUUUAUUUUCCAGUUUCUAUUCUGGUGUGUUAGGGUCUUGUCUCUGGUUUAGUCACUGACUUCCUGUUUUAUUUUGGUAGCUGUUUGUCUAAACCUCUGGGAUCU
This is a long non-coding RNA of Astatotilapia calliptera (eastern happy), 1372 nucleotides long. NCBI's taxonomy places the organism in Eukaryota, Metazoa, Chordata, Actinopteri, Cichliformes, Cichlidae. The record is from Ensembl.